RNAcentral lists this ribosomal RNA (301 nucleotides) under uncultured bacterium. Its description in RNAcentral is "partial 16S ribosomal RNA". It matches the Rfam family "Bacterial small subunit ribosomal RNA", at positions 509 to 807 of the family's 1533-position model. The record is from RNAcentral.
CAGUCGCCGCGGUAAUACGUAGGUGGCAAGCGUUGUCCGGAAUGAUUGGGCGUAAAGGGAGUGUAGGCGGUCUUUUAAGUCUGAUGUGAAAGCCCACGGCUCAACCGUGGAGGGUCAUUGGAACCUGGGAGACUUGAGUGCAGAAGAGGAGAGCGGAAUUCCAUGUGUAGCGGUGAAAUGCGUAGAUAUAUGGAGGAACACCAGUGGCGAAGGCGGCUCUCUGGUCUGUAACUGACGCUGAGGCUCGAAAGCGUGGGGAGCAAACAGGAUUAGAUACCCGAGUAGUCCCUGUCUCUUAUAC